RNAcentral lists this ribosomal RNA (460 nucleotides) under uncultured bacterium. RNAcentral's name for it is "partial 16S ribosomal RNA". It matches the Rfam family "Bacterial small subunit ribosomal RNA", at positions 338 to 795 of the family's 1533-position model. The record is from RNAcentral.
CCUACGGGAGGCAGCAGUGAGGAAUAUUGGUCAAUGGACGAGAGUCUGAACCAGCCAAGUAGCGUGAAGGAUAACUGCCCUAUGGGUUGUAAACUUCUUUUAUAUGGGAAUAAAAUGUUCCACGUGUGGGAUUUUGUAUGUACCAUAUGAAUAAGGAUCGGCUAACUCCGUGCCAGCAGCCGCGGUAAUACGGAGGAUCCGAGCGUUAUCCGGAUUUAUUGGGUUUAAAGGGAGCGUAGGUGGAUUGUUAAGUCAGUUGUGAAAGUUUGCGGCUCAACCGUAAAAUUGCAGUUGAAACUGGCAGUCUUGAGUACAGUAGAGGUGGGCGGAAGUCGUGGUGUAGCGGUGAAAUGCUUAGAUAUCACGAAGAACUCCGAUUGCGAAGGCAGUUCACUGGACUGCAACUGACACUGAGGCUCGAAAGUGUGGGUAUCAAACAGGAUUAGAUACCCUUGUAGUC